AUUUAAGUAGUUUAAAAUAAAACGUUGGUUUGUGGAUCCAAAAAUGUAAAUUAUUUAUCUUAAAUC
This 66-nucleotide transfer RNA is filed under the name Panulirus versicolor (painted spiny lobster). RNAcentral describes it as "tRNA-His". It matches the Rfam family "tRNA". Rfam says of the family: Transfer RNA (tRNA) molecules are approximately 80 nucleotides in length. Their secondary structure includes four short double-helical elements and three loops (D, anti-codon, and T loops). The record is from RNAcentral. Lineage: Eukaryota; Metazoa; Arthropoda; Malacostraca; Decapoda; Palinuridae.